RNAcentral lists this ribosomal RNA (498 nucleotides) under uncultured bacterium. RNAcentral's name for it is "partial 16S ribosomal RNA". It matches the Rfam family "Bacterial small subunit ribosomal RNA", at positions 29 to 523 of the family's 1533-position model. The record is from RNAcentral.
AUUGAACGCUGGCGGCAUGCUUUACACAUGCAAGUCGAACGGUAACAGGCCUUCGGGCGCUGACGAGUGGCGAACGGGUGAGUAAUGCAUCGGAACGUGCCCAGUCGUGGGGGAUAACGCAGCGAAAGCUGUGCUAAUACCGCAUACGAUCUGCGGAUGAAAGCGGGGGACCUUCGGGCCUCGCGCGAUUGGAGCGGCCGAUGUCAGAUUAGGUAGUUGGUGGGGUAAAGGCGCACCAAGCCAACGAUCUGUAGCUGGUCUGAGAGGACGACCAGCCACACGGGGACUGAGACACGGCCCAGACUCCUACGGGAGGCAGCAGUGGGGAAUUUUGGACAAUGGGCGCAAGCCUGAUCCAGCAAUGCCGCGUGCAGGAAGAAGGCCUUCGGGUUGUAAACUGCUUUUGUACGGAGCGAAAAGGCUCCCUCUAAUACAGGGGGCUCAUGACGGUACCGUAAGAAUAAGCACCGGCUAACUACGUGCCAGCCGCCGCAGUAA